UACGUAGGGUCCAAGCGUUGUCCGGAUUUAUUGGGCGUAAAGAGCUCGUAGGCGGUUUCGUAAGUCGGAUGUGAAAACUCAGGGCUCAACCCGGAGACGCCAUCUGAUACUGCGAUGACUUGAGUCUGGCAGGGGAACACGGAAUUCCUGGUGUAGCGGUGAAAUGCGCAGAUAUCAGGAGGAACACCGAUGGCGAAGGCAGUGUUCUGGGCCAGUACUGACGCUGAGGAGCGAAAGCGUGGGGAGCAAACAGG
This 254-nucleotide ribosomal RNA is filed under the name uncultured bacterium. Its description in RNAcentral is "partial 16S ribosomal RNA". It matches the Rfam family "Bacterial small subunit ribosomal RNA", at positions 524 to 776 of the family's 1533-position model. The record is from RNAcentral.